RNAcentral lists this ribosomal RNA (446 nucleotides) under uncultured bacterium. RNAcentral describes it as "SSU rRNA". It matches the Rfam family "Bacterial small subunit ribosomal RNA", at positions 26 to 518 of the family's 1533-position model. The record is from RNAcentral.
AGAGCGAACGCUGGCGGCAGGCCUAAUACAUGCAAGUCGAACGAACCCUUCGGGGUUAGUGGCGGACGGGUGAGUAACACGUGGGAACGUGCCUUUUGGUUCGGAACAACUCAGGGAAACUUGAGCUAAUACCGAAUGUGCCCUUCGGGGGAAAGAUUUAUCGCCAUUAGAGCGGCCCGCGUCUGAUUAGCUAGUUGGUGGGGUAAAGGCCCACCAAGGCUACGAUCAGUAGCUGGUCUGAGAGGAUGAUCAGCCACACUGGGACUGAGACACGGCCCAGACUCCUACGGGAGGCAGCAGUAGGGAAUCUUGCGCAAUGGGCGAAAGCCUGACGCAGCCAUGCCGCGUGAAUGAUGAAGGUCUUAGGAUUGUAAAAUUCUUUCAGCGGGGACGAUAAUGACGGUACCCGCAGAAGAAGCCCCGGCUAACUUCGCGCCAGCAGCCGC